This is a long non-coding RNA of Sapajus apella (tufted capuchin), 958 nucleotides long. RefSeq lists it as uncharacterized. The transcript is spliced from 2 exons. The record is from RefSeq and is a predicted model, not a curated record. Lineage: Eukaryota; Metazoa; Chordata; Mammalia; Primates; Cebidae.
UUAAUGCAGGAACAAAAAAAAACAAAUGCCACAAGUUCUCACAUGUGAGAAUUAAACGCUGGGUACACAUGGACAUAAAGAUAGGAAAAAUACACAUUAGAGACUACCAGAGCUGUGAAAAAGAGAGAGAAGAGGGGCUGAAAAACUACCUACUGGGUACUAUCCUCAUUACCCAAGUGGUGGGAUCAUUUGCACCCCAACCCUCAGCAUUAUGCAAUGUACCCAUAAACCUGCACAAGUACCCUGAUCUAAAAUGAAAGUUAAAAUUAUUUUUAAAAAAUAAAUGAAUUAAAAUAAAAGUAAGGUAGACAUCAUAAUUUCAUUUAUAAAUAUAGUUCAGAGGGUAUCACUUCAGGAAAAAAGGAAGACAUUCUUUAUUCACUACAAUAGCAAUUGUCACAAUUUGUUUUUUUUAAUGGAUAGAGGGGAGAGGAGCCAAGAUGGCUGAAGAGAAACAGCUGAGGUCUGCAGCUUCCAGCGAGACCAGGGUAGAAGACUAUGGAAAUGCUGUUAGACAAAAAGCAAAGUUGAGCAAUUUUCUCAUUCGAGUUCAAAAUGUGUCGUAAAGCAGUGGAGACAACUUGUAAUAUGAACAAUGCAUUUGGCCAAGGAAUUGCUAAUGAACGUACAAUGUAGUGGCGGUUCAAGAAGUUUUGCAAAGGAGACAAGAGCCUUGAAGAUGAGGAACAUAGUGGCUGGCCAUCGGAAGUCGACAAUGACCAAUUGAGAGCAAUCAUCAAAGCUGAUCCUCUUACAGCCACACCCAAUUCUUCUCCACAAUGCCCGACUGCACAUUGCACAACCAACGCUUCAAACGUUUAAUGAAUUGGGCUAUGAAGUUUUGCCUCAUCUGCCAUAUUCACUUGACCUCUCGCCACUGACUACCACGUCUUCAAGCAUCUCGACAGCUUUUUGCAGGGAAAAUGCAAAGGUCUUUCUUGAUUUUUUUUUGGCUUCA